UAGGGAAUCUUCCACAAUGGGACGCAGGUCUGAUGGAGCAACGCCGCGUGAGUGAAGAAGGUCUUCGGAUCGUAAACUCUGUUGUUAGAGAAGAACACGAGUGAGAGUAACUGUUCAUUCGAUGACGGUAUCUAACCAGCCAAGUCACGGCUAACUACGUGGCAG
This 165-nucleotide ribosomal RNA is filed under the name uncultured bacterium. RNAcentral's name for it is "partial 16S rRNA". It matches the Rfam family "Bacterial small subunit ribosomal RNA", at positions 355 to 511 of the family's 1533-position model. The record is from RNAcentral.